RNAcentral lists this ribosomal RNA (458 nucleotides) under uncultured bacterium. RNAcentral's name for it is "partial 16S ribosomal RNA". It matches the Rfam family "Bacterial small subunit ribosomal RNA", at positions 338 to 795 of the family's 1533-position model. The record is from RNAcentral.
CCUACGGGAGGCAGCAGUGAGGAAUAUUGGUCAAUGGGCGAGAGCCUGAACCAGCCAAGUCGCGUGAGGGAGGACGGCCCUAUGGGUUGUAAACCUCUUUUGUCGGGGAGCAAAAGCCGGACGGGUCCGGCUGUUAGAGUACCCGAAGAAAAAGCAGCGGCAAACUCCUGGCCAGCAGCCGCGGUAAUACGGAGGAUGCGAGCGUUAACCGGAUUUAUUGGGUUUAAGGGGUGCGGUGGCGGAGUUUUAAGGUAGCGGUCAAAUCGUGGGGCUCAACCCCAUCCAGCCGUUGAAACUGGUGAUCUAGAGUGUGCGAGAGGUAUGCGGAAUGCGUGGUGUAGCGGUGAAAUGCAUAGAUAUCACGCAGAACCCCGAUUGCGAAGGCAGCAUACCGGUGCACAACUGACGCUCAGGCACGAAAGCGUGGGUAUCGAACAGGAUUAGAUACCCGAGUAGUC